Molecule: ribosomal RNA, 492 nt
Filed under: uncultured bacterium
Lineage: Bacteria
Description: partial 16S ribosomal RNA
Rfam family: Bacterial small subunit ribosomal RNA
Source: RNAcentral
AGUGAACGCUGGCGGUAGGCCUAACACAUGCAAGUCGAACGGCAGCACAGUAAGAGCUUGCUCUUACGGGUGGCGAGUGGCGGACGGGUGAGGAAUACAUCGGACUCUACUUUUUCGUGGGGGAUAACGUAGGGAAACUUACGCUAAUACCGCAUACGACCUACGGGUGAAAGCAGGGGAUCUUCUGACCUUGCGCGAUUGAAUGAGCCGAUGUCGGAUUAGCUAGUUGGCGGGGUAAAGGCCCACCAAGGCGGCGAUCCGAUGCUGGUCUGAGAGGAGGGUCAGCCACACUGGAGCUUAGACACGGUCCAGGCUCCUGCGGGAGGAAGCAGUGGGGAAUAUUAGACAAUGGGCGCAAGCCUGAUCCAGCCAUACCGCGUGGGUGGAGAAGACCUUCGGGUUGUAAAGCCCGUUUGUUGGGAAAAAAAAGCAGCAGGUUAAUACCCCGCUGUUCUGACGGUACCCAAAGAAUAAGCACCGGCUAACUUCGUG